GACGAACGCUGGCGGCGCGCUUAACACAUGCAAGUCGAACGGAAAGGCCUGCUUUCCCUUGUGGAUUGCGGGUACUCGAGUGGCGAACGGGUGAGUAACACGUGAGUGAUCUGCCCCCAACUUGGGUAUAAGCCUGGGAAACUGGGUCUAAUUCCCGAUAGGACUGCAGGGUGGUGCCUGUGGUGGAAAACGAUUUUCUAGUGGUUGGGGAUGAGCUCGCGGCCUAUCAGCUUGUUGGUGGGGUAAUGGCCUACCAAGGCGGCGACGGGUAGCCGGCCUGGGAGGGUGGACGGCGACAUUGGGACUGGGAUACGGCCCAGACGCCUACGGGAGGCAGCAGUGGGGAAGAUUGCACAAUGGGCGGAAGCCUGAUGCAGCGACGCCGCGUGGGGGAUGACGGCCUUCGGGUUGUAAACUCCUUUCGACCGCGAGGAAGCCACCUGGUUGGAAGGGUGGUGACGGUAGUGGUAGAAGAAGCACCGGCUAACUACGUG
RNAcentral lists this ribosomal RNA (494 nucleotides) under uncultured bacterium. RNAcentral describes it as "partial 16S ribosomal RNA". It matches the Rfam family "Bacterial small subunit ribosomal RNA", at positions 28 to 507 of the family's 1533-position model. The record is from RNAcentral.